This 506-nucleotide ribosomal RNA is filed under the name uncultured bacterium. Its description in RNAcentral is "partial 16S ribosomal RNA". It matches the Rfam family "Bacterial small subunit ribosomal RNA", at positions 30 to 523 of the family's 1533-position model. The record is from RNAcentral.
AUUGAACGCUGGCGGCAGGCCUAACACAUGCAAGUCGAGCGGCAGCGGAAAGUAGCUUGCUACUUUGCCGGCGAGCGGCGGACGGGUGGGUAAUGUCUGGGAAACUGCCUGAUGGAGGGGGAGAACUACUGGAAACGGUAGCUAAUACCGCAUAACGUCGCAAGACCAAAGAGGGGGACCUUUGGGCCUCUUGCCAUCAGAUGUGCCCAGAUGGGAUUAGCUAGUAGGCGGGGUAACGGCUCACCUAGGGGACGAUCCCUAGCUGGUCUGAGAGGAUGACCAGCCACACUGGAACUGAGACACGGUCCAGACUCCUACGGGAGGCAGCAGUGGGGAAUAUUGCACAAUGGGCGCAAGCCUGAUGCAGCCAUGCCGCGUGUAUGAAGAAGGCCUUCGGGUUGUAAAGUACUUUCAGCGGGGAGGAAGGUGUUGUGGUUAAUAACCACAGCAAUUGACGUUACCCGCAGAAGAAGCACCGGCUAACUCCGUGCCAGCAGCCGCCGUAA